AACGAACGCUGGCGGCAUGCCUAACACAUGCAAGUCGAACGAGACCUUCGGGUCUAGUGGCGCACGGGUGCGUAACGCGUGGGAACCUGCCCUUAGGUUCGGAAUAACUCCCCGAAAGGGGUGCUAAUACCGGAUAAUGUCUUCGGACCAAAGAUUUAUCGCCUUUGGAUGGGCCCGCGUUGGAUUAGCUAGUUGGUAGGGUAAAAGCCUACCAAGGCGACGAUCCAUAGCUGGUCUGAGAGGAUGAUCAGCCACACUGGGACUGAGACACGGCCCAGACUCCUACGGGAGGCAGCAGUGGGGAAUAUUGGACAAGGGGCGCAAGCCUGAUCCAGCAAUGCCGCGUGAGUGAUGAAGGCCUUAGGGUUGUAAAGCUCUUUUACCCGGGAUGAUAAUGACAGUACCGGGAGAAUAAGCUCCGGCUAACUCCGUG
RNAcentral lists this ribosomal RNA (433 nucleotides) under uncultured bacterium. RNAcentral's name for it is "partial 16S ribosomal RNA". It matches the Rfam family "Bacterial small subunit ribosomal RNA", at positions 29 to 507 of the family's 1533-position model. The record is from RNAcentral.